CUCGAGAGAGGUAAGGGCAGUUUGAGAACAAGACGUAGAUAGGCCGCAGGUGUAAGUACUGAGAAGUAUUGAGCCGAGCGGUACUAAUAGCCCGAGGCUUUG
Molecule: ribosomal RNA, 102 nt
Filed under: Petrotoga sp. 9T1HF07.CasAA.8.2
Lineage: Bacteria; Thermotogati; Thermotogota; Thermotogae; Petrotogales; Petrotogaceae
Description: partial 23S ribosomal RNA
Rfam family: Bacterial large subunit ribosomal RNA (bases 12-95)
Source: RNAcentral